This 542-nucleotide ribosomal RNA is filed under the name uncultured archaeon. Its description in RNAcentral is "bacterial SSU rRNA". It matches the Rfam family "Bacterial small subunit ribosomal RNA", at positions 509 to 1050 of the family's 1533-position model. The record is from RNAcentral.
CAGCAGCCGCGGUAACACGUAGGGGGCAAGCGUUGUCCGGAUUUAUUGGGCGUAAAGAGCUCGUAGGCGGUUCGGUAAGUUGGGUGUGAAACCUCCAGGCUCAACCUGGAGACGCCACCCGAUACUGCUGUGACUAGAGUCCGGUAGGGGAGCGUGGAAUUCCUGGUGUAGCGGUGAAAUGCGCAGAUAUCAGGAGGAACACCAGCGGCGAAGGCGGCGCUCUGGGCCGGAACUGACGCUGAGGAGCGAAAGCGUGGGUAGCAAACAGGAUUAGAUACCCUGGUAGUCCACGCCGUAAACGUUGGGCACUAGGUGUGGGGUCUUAUCAACGGAUUCCGUGCCGUAGCUAACGCAUUAAGUGCCCCGCCUGGGGAGUACGGCCGCAAGGCUAAAACUCAAAGGAAUUGACGGGGGCCCGCACAAGCGGCGGAGCAUGUUGCUUAAUUCGAGGCAACGCGAAGAACCUUACCUGGAUUGAACUACGCAGGAAAAGCCACAGAGAUGUGGUGUCCUUCGGGGCCUGUGAGAGGUGGUGCAUGGCC